This 433-nucleotide ribosomal RNA is filed under the name uncultured bacterium. Its description in RNAcentral is "partial 16S ribosomal RNA". It matches the Rfam family "Bacterial small subunit ribosomal RNA", at positions 29 to 507 of the family's 1533-position model. The record is from RNAcentral.
AACGAACGCUGGCGGCAUGCCUAACACAUGCAAGUCGAACGAGACCUUCGGGUCUAGUGGCGCACGGGUGCGUAACGCGUGGGAACCUGCCCUUAGGUUCGGGAUAACUCCCCGAAAGGGGUGCUAAUACCGGAUAAUGUCUUCGGACCAAAGAUUUAUCGCCUUUGGAUGGGCCCGCGUUGGAUUAGCUAGUUGGUAGGGUAAAAGCCUACCAAGGCGACGAUCCAUAGCUGGUCUGAGAGGAUGAUCAGCCACACUGGGACUGAGACACGGCCCAGACUCCUACGGGAGGCAGCAGUGGGGAAUAUUGGACAAUGGGCGAAAGUCUGAUACAGCAAUGCCGCGUGAGUGAUGAAGGCCUUAGGGUUGUAAAGCUCUUUUACCCGGGAUGAUAAUGACAGUACCGGGAGAAUAAGCUCCGGCUAACUACGUG